GGGUCGGUGGUCGAGUGGUUAAUGGCACCGGGCUGUAAACCCGGCUCGCGAAGGCGAUACGCAGGUUCAAAUCCUGCCCGGCCCACCA
This 88-nucleotide transfer RNA is filed under the name Candidatus Elarobacter sp. Its description in RNAcentral is "tRNA-Tyr". It matches the Rfam family "tRNA". Rfam says of the family: Transfer RNA (tRNA) molecules are approximately 80 nucleotides in length. Their secondary structure includes four short double-helical elements and three loops (D, anti-codon, and T loops). Lineage: Bacteria; Bacillati; Vulcanimicrobiota; Vulcanimicrobiia; Vulcanimicrobiales; Vulcanimicrobiaceae. RNAcentral also lists the same sequence under 1 other name. The record is from RNAcentral.